This 941-nucleotide ribosomal RNA is filed under the name uncultured Clostridium sp. RNAcentral's name for it is "bacterial SSU rRNA". It matches the Rfam family "Bacterial small subunit ribosomal RNA", at positions 21 to 1010 of the family's 1533-position model. Lineage: Bacteria; Bacillati; Bacillota; Clostridia; Eubacteriales; Clostridiaceae. The record is from RNAcentral.
UGACUAGGAUGACGCUGGCGGCGUGCCUAACACAUGCAAGUCGAGCGAUCUUCUUCGGAAGAGAGCGGCGGACGGGUGAGUAACGCGUGGGUAACCUGCCCUGUACACACGGAUAACAUACCGAAAGGUAUGCUAAUACGGGAUAACAUACUUUUAUCGCAUGGUAGAAGUAUCAAAGCUCCGGCGGUACAGGAUGGACCCGCGUCUGAUUAGCUAGUUGGUAAGGUAACGGCUUACCAAGGCGACGAUCAGUAGCCGACCUGAGAGGGUGAUCGGCCACAUUGGAACUGAGACACGGUCCAAACUCCUACGGGAGGCAGCAGUGGGGAAUAUUGCACAAUGGGCGAAAGCCUGAUGCAGCAACGCCGCGUGAGCGAUGAAGGCCUUCGGGUCGUAAAGCUCUGUCCUCAAGGAAGAUAAUGACGGUACUUGAGGAGGAAGCCCCGGCUAACUACGUGCCAGCAGCCGCGGUAAUACGUAGGGGGCUAGCGUUAUCCGGAAUUACUGGGCGUAAAGGGUGCGUAGGUGGUUUCUUAAGUCAGAAGUGAAAGGCUACGGCUCAACCGUAGUAAGCUUUUGAAACUAAGAGACUUGAGUGCAGGAGAGGAGAGUAGAAAUUCCUAGUGUAGCGGUGAAAUGCGUAGAUAUUAGAGGAAUACCAGUUGCGAAGCGGCUCUCUGGACUGUAACUGACACUGAGGCACGAAAGCGUGGGGAGCAACAAGGAUUAGAUACCCUGGUAGUCCACGCCGUAACGAUGAGUACUAGCUGUCGGGGUUACCCCCCUCGGUGGCGCAGCUAACGCAUUAAGUACUCCGCCUGGGAAGUACGCUCGCAGAGUGAAACUCAAGGAUNACCGGGACCCGCACAGUAGCGAGCAUGUGNUUNNUCUAAGCAACGCNAGACNNCUAGCUGACAUCUUNACUCUCCUAAUCGAAAUUC